GGAAAGUAAAUUUGAAUUGAAAUAUUGAAUAGAAAUUGAAAUGGUUUGAAUUGAAUUAUUGAAUUGAACUGGAAUAUUGAAAUUGGUGAUUGAUAUGGAUUUUAUUAGAAUUGAAAUUGAGAAUGUGGAGAUUGAUAUGUGAAACUGAUACUGAACUGAAUUAUGGAAUACUUAAUAUUGUUAUGUGUACUGCAUUGAACUGUGAAAAUACUGAAGCAAUGAAUUACUGCAAUACUGUGAAACUGAUUGGAAUAAUGAAUUUAUAAUUGAUACUGAACUAAUAUGGAAAUUUUACUGGAAAGUAAAUUAAAUACCCUAUUAACUAGUCGGGCUAGUCGGAUAUAGUUGGCAUGCCAUAGGAUAUGGAAGAGUACGGGUUAUUGCCGGCUUACUGAUCA
This 398-nucleotide long non-coding RNA is filed under the name Gossypium raimondii (Peruvian cotton). RNAcentral's name for it is "long non-coding RNA (GRAI_LNC009718)". Lineage: Eukaryota; Viridiplantae; Streptophyta; Magnoliopsida; Malvales; Malvaceae. The record is from RNAcentral.